Cinara cedri is the source of this 504-nucleotide non-coding RNA. Lineage: Eukaryota; Metazoa; Arthropoda; Insecta; Hemiptera; Aphididae. The record is from the annotation of a GenBank genome assembly.
AACUAAACAUUUAUUGUUAUGUUACAUAAUUCUAAACUUUGUAAACCCUUCUGAACGUUAUAAAGCAUAAACAAAAAUAAAAAUAAAAAUCUGUAUUCACUACGAAUUCGUCAUCCUAUUGAUUUAACUGCGAUUAUUUAUUAAUAUACAUACCCACAAUAAUAAUAUUAUGAUAUACAUGCAGUAUUACUGUGAGCCAUAGUAUUUAACGGGCGACGGGGUACAAACACCGUAUAUAUGUAAGUAUCUAUAAUAGAUUUAUCGAAACGUAACAUCAAGUACACGAGUAUUUCCAUUUUUGGAAUAGCUGCAGUUUGCCAUGCUAUCUGCCAUACUAUCGUUUAACAUUCAACACAAUGCUAUUUGGACUAUUAGGAUUAACUAAAAAAAAAAAAACAGCAAACAAUAUUCCCGUCCUACACGGGCAUUGUAUAGGUACCAACCAUAAAAGUGUUUCAAUUGGCGAUUUUCAUCAAGAUCGCGUGCAAAAUAAAUUUGUAGGUA